This 253-nucleotide ribosomal RNA is filed under the name uncultured bacterium. RNAcentral's name for it is "partial 16S ribosomal RNA". It matches the Rfam family "Bacterial small subunit ribosomal RNA", at positions 524 to 776 of the family's 1533-position model. The record is from RNAcentral.
UACGUAGGGGGCAAGCGUUGUCCGGAUUUAUUGGGCGUAAAGAGCGUGUAGGCGGCCAGGUAGGUCCGUUGUGAAAACUCGAGGCUCAACCUCGAGACGUCGGCGGAAACCCUCUGGCUAGAGUCCGGAAGAGGAGAGUGGAAUUCCUGGUGUAGCGGUGAAAUGCGCAGAUAUCAGGAAGAACACCCGUGGCGAAGGCGGCUCUCUGGGCAUUAACUGACGCUGAGGAGCGAAAGCAUGGGGAGCGAACAGG